GUCGUUUUUUCGCUUCAAAAUAAUAUACAACUUUUUAGCUUAAACAAAAAAGAAACUUCACAACUAUCUAGCAAAAGUGACAGAUAUAGGAGCGAAAUACAUAAAUAAGAUACGAAAAGGCUUAACGGGGCAUGUAUGUCGUGACCUUUGCACCCAAAAGUAAAGCCACCAUCUCAUUCCCAGCCGCCUGUUGCCCCUCAACUGGGUCAGACAUGGCAUCGGUAAUGAGACUGCCAAUACCGCCGAUGGAUAUGCUGAUGUUAAUGGUGGUGAUGAUGAGCAGAUGAGCGGAUGAGGAUGACAAGGACUACGAGAAGCGGCGGAAUGGAGAUGCUGAUGAUGGCGGUUGGAUGAUGAGGAUGAUGUGCAGCUGACAUUAUAAACAAUUUCGCAGCCAUUGGCGCAGUUUAAUUAAAACGGCGACCAAAAAUAUUCAACUAUAAUCUAUUGCAGGCAAAUAAAAGCAAGUGAGUACGGAGAA
This is a long non-coding RNA of Drosophila santomea, 481 nucleotides long. RefSeq lists it as uncharacterized. The record is from RefSeq and is a predicted model, not a curated record. Lineage: Eukaryota; Metazoa; Arthropoda; Insecta; Diptera; Drosophilidae. The transcript is spliced from 2 exons.